This 305-nucleotide ribosomal RNA is filed under the name uncultured bacterium. Its description in RNAcentral is "bacterial SSU rRNA". It matches the Rfam family "Bacterial small subunit ribosomal RNA", at positions 336 to 638 of the family's 1533-position model. The record is from RNAcentral.
UUCCUACGGGAGGCAGCAGUGAGGAAUAUUGGUCAAUGGGCGAGAGCCUGAACCAGCCAAGUCGCGUGAAGGAUGACGGCCCUAUGGGUUGUAAACUUCUUUUGUCAGGGAGCAAUUGGGUCCACGUGUGGGCUUAGCGAGAGUACCUGAAGAAAAAGCAUCGGCUAACUCCGUGCCAGCAGCCGCGGUAAUACGGAGGAUGCGAGCGUUAUCCGGAUUUAUUGGGUUUAAAGGGUGCGUAGGCGGGCUGUUAAGUCAGCGGUCAAAUUGCGGGGCUCAACCCCGUACUGCCGUUGAAACUGCAU